CUUGUCAUCCGAAAGUAUUGCCAUUACAUCCGGUUGAAAUCCAUACAUGGUUCCCAUCGUAGGCUAGGCUAGUUUAGCUGCUAACUCUCAGUAGUGAUCAUCACAGUCACAAUGCCUCUGAUAGUGAUGUGUGGGUACCCCUGCAGUGGUAAAACACGAAGGGCAGAGGAGCUGAAGAUUCCCAAAAGGAGAAAAAUGUCAGAGCAUCUCUGAAAGCUGAAGUAGAGAGGAAAGUCAACAAGGGAGACAUUGUGAUUUUGGAUUCCCUAAAUUACAUAAAAGGCUACCGCUAUGAACUGUUCUGUCUCAUCAAACAUGCACAGACACCACAAUGCCUGGUAUACUGUUUGACGUCAGAUGAAGUGAGCACAACGUGGAAUACCAACAGAGAUGCUGCUGAGCAGUACACACAGGAAAUCUUUGAUGCAUUAGUGCUGAGAUUUGAAGCUCCAGACUCCAGAAACCGAUGGGACAGUCCUCUCUUCACCAUCCUGAAAGACGACACGAUUCCAUUUGAAGACAUUUCUGACGCACUUUUCAAGAGAAAAGCACCCCCACCAAACCAGUCCACACAGAGUCAACCAUUGUCAUCUUCAAACUUCCUGUACGAGCUGGACAAAAUCACACAAGAAGUCUUAAUGGCAAUUUGUAACGCACAGAAGACAAGUGUCCCCGGGGACCUCGUUCCAGUUCCAGGAGCUACAGAAAAGAUCGAGCUCACCAGGAGCAUCAACAUGGCAGAGCUGAGGAAAUUACGGCGGCAGUUCAUCAGCUACACCAAGAUGCACCCGACAGAGAACAGCGGGCACAUUUCCAACAUGUUUGUGCAGUAUUUAAAUAAGAGUCUUCACUGACAUUGUUAUACCAUUGGCCUCUUUUUUUAUUUUCUGGGACAAAUAAAUAUAUUUUAUAAUAUUCUCUGGAUGUGAUGUUUUGCAAUGAUUCGGUCGAGUUAUAUUUAUGAGCUUAAGUGCCAAAUUGACUCCUUAUGCAGUUGUGUAAUAUUCCAACUAGUUUACAUUUGAAUCCUUUUUUAUUUUUGUAAUGAAUUCUACAAAAAUUAGCUCCUCCUUAUAUAAGCAAGAGUUUCCCUAAUUCCCCUUUUACUCUGCUUGACCUCUUGGUGACAAGCUCAACAAGUAUGAAUUGGUUUUUUGAAAAAGCUUCUUAUUGCUGUCGGAUUUGUAGCAUACUAUAAGUACCACUGAGUAAAGCUCUUGGAAGAAAUCCCUCUCAAUGAUUGUGUAUUAUUAUGUAAGAAGAUUGAGGCGGAAAAUGAUGGGAAAGCUUUUUUCCAAUUAUUUAAAUAAUACAAGAGUUCAGUUCAACAACAAUAUUUACAAAAGUGCAAGAUUAUAAGAUAUU
Molecule: RNA transcript, 1365 nt
Organism: Notothenia coriiceps (black rockcod)
Lineage: Eukaryota; Metazoa; Chordata; Actinopteri; Perciformes; Nototheniidae
Gene: kti12
Gene name: KTI12 chromatin associated homolog
Exons: 9
Source: RefSeq, a predicted model, not a curated record